GACGAACGCUGGCGGCGUGCCUAACACAUGCAAGUCGAGCGGGGUUGAAGCGAGGGGUAACUCGAGUUUCUACCUAGCGGCGGACGGGUGAGUAACGCGUGGGCAACCUGCCUCAAGGACUGGGAUAACAGCUCGAAAGGGCUGCUAAUACCGGAUAUGCCUGUGGCCUCGCAUGGGGCUAUGAGCAAAGGGGAAACCCGCCUUGAGAUGGGCCCGCGUCCCAUCAGCUAGUUGGUGAGGUGAAGGCUCACCAAGGCGACGACGGGUAGCCGGCCUGAGAGGGUGACCGGCCACACUGGGACUGAGACACGGCCCAGACUCCUACGGGGGGCAGCAGUGGGGAAUCUUGCACAAUGGGCGAAAGCCUGAUGCAGCGACGCCGCGUGAGCGAAGAAGGCCUUCGGGUUGUAAAGCUCUGUCUGGAGGGACGAAGGAAGUGACGGUACCUCCGGAGGAAGCCACGGCUAACUACGUG
Molecule: ribosomal RNA, 475 nt
Filed under: uncultured bacterium
Lineage: Bacteria
Description: bacterial SSU rRNA
Rfam family: Bacterial small subunit ribosomal RNA
Source: RNAcentral